GGUGAGGUGCAGGAGUGGUUAAACUGCCUGGUCUCGAAAACCAUGGUCCGCCUUUGGCGGAACGCGAGUUCGAAUCUCGCCCUCACCG
RNAcentral lists this transfer RNA (88 nucleotides) under Candidatus Microgenomates bacterium. Its description in RNAcentral is "tRNA-Ser". It matches the Rfam family "tRNA". Rfam says of the family: Transfer RNA (tRNA) molecules are approximately 80 nucleotides in length. Their secondary structure includes four short double-helical elements and three loops (D, anti-codon, and T loops). The record is from RNAcentral. Lineage: Bacteria; Candidatus Microgenomatota.